CUUUUUCUUUUUACAAUUUUUACUUAAAAAAACAUUUUUUAUAAUAAAUACUACUGUUUAAUUCGCCCGAGUGGAUAGUCCUUCCAAAAUCACCCCACAAAGAUGGGAUUUUUAUAGCUCAAAACUGGUGGAGAGCGUAAUGCUAAUUAUCAGAAAUCCAUGAUUGGCGGCCAAAUCCGAAAUCCAUUCUUCGUUCCUAGUCGGCUGCACACAAACCCCGGUUCAGCUAAGGUUUCUCAAGCCCAGCUUCCGAUGGCGUCUUCUUCGGAGUUCGCCGUUCUUCUUCAGUUGUGCAUCGAUUCUCAAUCCCUGAAGCAGGGGAGAAAGCUGCAUGUUCAGAUUCGGGAAGCUGGUUUAGAGAUGAAUCCGGCUUUGCUUCCCAAACUGCUGAAGCUCUACUGUGUAUGUGAUCGGGUUGAUGAUGCUCGAGAGGUGUUUGAUAGAAUUCCUGAAACGGACUUGGAUACCAUUGCCUGCACUGCGAUGAUUGUCGGUUAUGUUAGAAAUGAGGCUCCCCGCGAAGCGAUUAAGCUGUUUUGUGAAAUGCUUGAGCUUGGGCUGGAUCUAGAUUCUUAUACCUUUUCGGCAUUGCUGAAGGCUUCUACUGAUUUGAUUCUGUAUUGUUUGAGUACUAAUUUGCAUUCACUGAUACUGAAGUUUGGAUUUGAUUCCUUUGUAUCUGUCGGAAAUGCGCUUAUUCAUGCUUAUGGGUCUUUUGGAGAUGCUUCUGGUGCACAUAAAGUGUUUGACAGAAUGCCUGAUCGGGAUGUUGUGUCUUGGUCCUCAAUGAUUCAUGCUAGUUCCUCUGCAAAGCGCUUCGUUGAAUCGGCGGCCUUAUUUUCUAGGAUGCAAUUUGAGGAAUUUAUCAGACCUAAUGAGAUUACACUUGUUUCAUUGUUGCCUGCUUGCAGCUUCUUCUCUUCUUUCAGAAAGGGCCAAUCAAUCCAUGCUUAUGCCAUUCGGAAUGGGUUUAAUUCUAAUCUUAUUGUUUGUUCUGCUCUUGUUACAAUGUAUUCCAGAUGUGGAAAUCCCGAUGGAGCUUUUAAAGUAUUCAGUUGUAUGGAGAAAUCUAAUGUUUUGUUAUGGACUUCAAUGAUUGAAGGGUUCUCAAUUAAUGGGAGGUUUGAGCUUGCUCUUGAAUUGUUCAAGGAAAUGCUGGUCCAUGGCUUGAAGCCUAAUUCCCUUACUUUGAUUGUGGUGUUGUCUGCUUGCAGUCAUGGUGGGCUGGUGGAAGAGGGAUUGGAGAUUUUUGAGUCGAUGAAAGAGAGAUUUGGUAUUGAGCCUUGUACCGAGCACCAUGCCUGUAUUGUGGAUAUGUUGGGGAGAGGGGGAAGGCUGAAUGAGGCUGAAAAUUUUAUUGAAAGAAUGGAAGUGCCAGUAACAGGUUCUGUGCUUGGAUCCCUCCUUGGAGCUUGUCAAGCACAUUGCAAUGUGAAGCUUGGGGAGAAGUUGGCAAUGAAGCUUUUUUGGCUCGAACCAUAUAAUGAAGCCAAUUAUGUGAUCUUGUCAAACAUAUAUGCCUCAGUGGGGAGAUGGGAUGAUGUGGGUAAAGUGAGAAGAUUGAUGGCUGUUAAGGGGCUGUCAAAAAGAUCUGGUUGUAGUUGGAUUGAAAUAAAGGACAAGGUAUAUGUGUUUGGAGCACAUGACCUAUCACAUUCACAGUCGGAAAAUAUUUACAGAAAGUUGGAGGAAUUGAAUUGUUCGAUAAUAAAGGCAGGUUAUGUGCCUGCUACCAAAUGUGUCUUGCUAAAUGUGGAGGAGGAUGAUAAGAAAUUGCUGCUUCGUAGCCAUAGUGAGAGAUUAGCUAUUGCUUUUGGUCUUCUAGAUGCCCCUCCUAAUGUUCCUAUUAGAGUUACUAAGAACCUUCGAGUUUGUAAGGAUUGCCAUGAUGCCAUUAAAUUGAUAUCAAAGGUUGUAGCUCGGCAAUUUAUUGUAAGGGAUACACGAAGGUUUCAUCAUUUUUCGCAAGGUUCUUGUUCUUGUGGUGAUUAUUGGUGACAUAAUAUGGCAUCAGGGGCUUACAUUUGUCAGCUUUACUUCGUCUCAAAAAAGGUUGAAGAUGUGGAUAGACUGAUGGAGAUCAUAAAACAAGCUGCUAAAGAAGGCGCUCUUGUCCUUUACACCCU
Phalaenopsis equestris is the source of this 2126-nucleotide RNA transcript. It is a transcript of the gene named probable pyruvate, phosphate dikinase regulatory protein, chloroplastic, with no coding region annotated. The transcript has 2 exons. NCBI's taxonomy places the organism in Eukaryota, Viridiplantae, Streptophyta, Magnoliopsida, Asparagales, Orchidaceae. The record is from RefSeq and is a predicted model, not a curated record.